This 85-nucleotide non-coding RNA is filed under the name Candidatus Gallispira edinburgensis. RNAcentral describes it as "TPP riboswitch (THI element)". It matches the Rfam family "TPP riboswitch aptamer (THI element)", at positions 7 to 92 of the family's 105-position model. From Rfam's summary of the family: Vitamin B(1) in its active form thiamin pyrophosphate (TPP) is an essential coenzyme that is synthesised by coupling of pyrimidine and thiazole moieties in bacteria. Lineage: Bacteria; Bacillati; Bacillota; Clostridia. The record is from RNAcentral.
UGCUGGGGGAGUUUUUUACUGAGACGGCAAUUUGCCGAACCCUUAUUACUUGAUCCGGGUAAUACCGGCGUAAGGAAGCAGUGAC